CCUACGGGAGGCAGCAGUGGGGAAUAUUGCACAAUGGGGGAAACCCUGAUGCAGCGACGCCGCGUGAGUGAAGAAGGAUUUCGGUAUGUAAAGCUCUGUCAGCAGGGAAGAAAAUGACGGUACCUGACCAAGAAGCCCCGGCUACCUACGUGCCAGCAGCCGCGGUAAUACGUAGGGGGCAAGCGUUAUCCGGAUUUACUGGGUGUGAAGGGAGCGUAGACGGGAGGGCAAGUCUGGAGUGAAAGGCGGGGGCUCAACCCCCGGACUGCUCUGGAAACUGUCAGGCUGGAGUGCAGGAGAGGUAGGUGGAAUUCCUAGUGUAGCGGUGAAAUGCGUAGAUAUUAGGAGGAACACCAGUGGCGAAGGCGGCUUACUGGACUGUAACUGACGUUGAGGCUCGAAAGCGUGGGGAGCAAACAGGAUUAGAUACCCCUGUAGUC
Molecule: ribosomal RNA, 440 nt
Filed under: uncultured bacterium
Lineage: Bacteria
Description: partial 16S ribosomal RNA
Rfam family: Bacterial small subunit ribosomal RNA
Source: RNAcentral